RNAcentral lists this ribosomal RNA (1069 nucleotides) under human gut metagenome. RNAcentral describes it as "bacterial SSU rRNA". It matches the Rfam family "Bacterial small subunit ribosomal RNA", at positions 8 to 1063 of the family's 1533-position model. The record is from RNAcentral.
AGAGUUUGAUUCUGGCUCAGAUUGAACGCUGGCGGCGUGCUUAACACAUGCAAGUCGAACGUGAAAGUCCUUCGGGACGAGUAGAGUGGCGCACGGGUGAGUAACGCGUGGAUAAUCUGCCUCUGCAAUCGGAAUAACGACUGGAAACGGUCGCUAAUACCGGAUACGCUUAAGUUUUACCUCUUAAGGAAAGAUGACCUCUAUUUAUAAGUUAUCGUGCAGAGAUGAGUCCGCGUCCCAUUAGCUUGUUGGCGGGGUAACGGCCCACCAAGGCGACGAUGGGUAGCCGAUUUAAGAGGAUGAUCGGCCACAUUGGAACUGAAACACGGUCCAAACUCCUACGGGAGGCAGCAGUGGGGAAUAUUGCGCAAUGGGCGAAAGCCUGACGCAGCGACGCCGCGUGAGGGAUGAAGGUCUUCGGAUCGUAAACCUCUGUCAGAAGGGAAAAAUGUACAGUGCUCCAAUCAACACUGUAUUGAUGGUACCUUCAGAGGAAGCACCGGCUAACUCCGUGCCAGCAGCCGCGGUAAUACGGAGGGUGCAAGCGUUAAUCGGAAUUACUGGGCGUAAAGCGCGCGUAGGUUGUUUUGUAAGUCAGAGGUGUAAUCCCACGGCUUAACCGUGGAACUGCCUUUGAUACUGCAUAACUUGGAUCCGGGAGAGGACAGCGGAAUUCCAGGUGUAGGAGUGAAAUCCGUAGAUAUCUGGAAGAACAUCAGUGGCGAAGGCGGCUGUCUGGACCGGUAUUGACGCUGAGGCGCGAAAGCGUGGGUAGCAAACAGGAUUAGAUACCCUGGUAGUCCACGCUGUAAACGAUGGAUGCUGGAUGUCGGGGCGCAAGCUUCGGUGUCGUAGUUAACGCGAUAAGCAUCCCGCCUGGGGACUACGGUCGCAAGGCUGAAACUCAAAGAAAUUGACGGGGGCCCGCACAAGCGGUGGAGUAUGUGGUUUAAUUCGAUGCAACGCGAAGAACCUUACCUGGGUUUGACAUCCACGGAAUUUCUGUGAAAGCAGGAAGUGCCCGCAAGGGAGCCGUGAGACAGGUGCUGCAUGGCUGUCGUCAGCUCGU